CGCGUAUUGGGCAUGUCGUAAGUCUUGUUCUUUUGAUUUGGGUAUUUUUCUUUUUUACUUCUUUUGGUAAAUGCAUUGGCAUAUCGUUAGUUUUUCUAUUUAUUUCGUUUUUUUCUUCCCAAGGUUUCAUCUUUUUUUUGUGAGGUGAAUAUGCUGUUUGAAUUACGUUCAAGGGUUGUGGUUAUGAACUAGUAGAGGAUUUGGAUGAUAUAGAAAAUUGUAAGAGAUGAGUGGAAUUUGGUUUUUUGUAAUGCUAGCCUUUAGUUUUUUCAAAUCCCUUUGCCAAUACUAUGUGUUUUGGAUGUUUUAGCAUUGUUUAAAAGGUUUUUCCUUGCCAAUGAGCUUUAGCUCACUGUUACUGGAAUCCGGGUGUGAGAUCCAGCUGGUUGAAGCCAAAUGAACCCAAAAAAAAGGAAGGUUUUUCCAUGUUUUGAAGUUAGGCUUUGUUCCACUAUGACGCACCUGACUUUUGUAGGAUUUAGAACCUAACGUCCUAACCAUUAUUUCCAAUUGGUAGUUGAAGCCAUAUAUGUGACUGUAAGUUGAUGCUUGUUCUCAUAUUUAUUUUUCAUAUAUGGUUCUCUUUUGAAUAUUGAAAUAGCUUGCAUUCUAAAUUGAAUUUUAUAUUCAAAAUUGAAACUUCUUCAUUGAAUUCUUAUGUCUUUAGCGUAUGGUCUAUUCACUUGACAUGUCUACUGUACAUCUGGCAUCUAAUUAGUCUAAUUUAGUGGUAAUUCUAUUUAUUUUUUAAUUUUUAGUAACAUUCUAACUAAAAUUAAAAUAAUGUUUUGUGUUUAGUCUAAGUACAAUAAAUAAGCAACUUAUAAGAUUAAGUGAACUAUGGGGGCA
This 849-nucleotide unclassified non-coding RNA is filed under the name Hevea brasiliensis (rubber tree). Lineage: Eukaryota; Viridiplantae; Streptophyta; Magnoliopsida; Malpighiales; Euphorbiaceae. The record is from RNAcentral.